GGAGUUUGGUCCGUGUCUCAGUACCAAUGUGGGGGACCUUCCUCUCAGAACCCCUACUGAUCGUCGGCUCGGUGGGCCGUUACCCCGCCGACUGCCUAAUCAGACGCAUCCCCAUCCCUUACCGAUGAAUCUUUGCUCCUCGUUAGAUGCCCGCAAAGGAGAACAUAGGGCAUUAAUCCGACUUUCGCCGGGCUAUUCCCUAGUAAGGGGAAGGUUGGAUACGCGUUACUCACCCGUGCGCCGGUCGCCAUCUAUCAAAGCAAGCUUCGAUAAUGAUGCCCCUCGACUUGCAUGUGUUAAGCCUGUAGCUAGCGUUCAUC
This 320-nucleotide ribosomal RNA is filed under the name uncultured Prevotella sp. Its description in RNAcentral is "partial 16S ribosomal RNA". Lineage: Bacteria; Pseudomonadati; Bacteroidota; Bacteroidia; Bacteroidales; Prevotellaceae. The record is from RNAcentral.